Molecule: ribosomal RNA, 468 nt
Filed under: uncultured bacterium
Lineage: Bacteria
Description: partial 16S ribosomal RNA
Rfam family: Bacterial small subunit ribosomal RNA
Source: RNAcentral
GACGAACGCUGGCGGCGUGCUUAACACAUGCAAGUCGAACGGAAAGGCCCUGCUUUUGUGGGGUUCUCGAGUGGCGGACGGGUGAGUAACACGUGAGUAACCUGCCCUUGACUUUGGGAUAACUUCAGGAAACUGAGGCUACUACCGGAUAGGAGCUCCUGCUGCAUGGUGGGGGUUGGAAAGUUUCGGCGGUUGGGGAUGGACUCGCGGCUUAUCAGCUUGUUGGUGGGGUAGUGGCUUACCAAGGCUUUGACGGGUAGCCGGCCUGAGAGGGUGACCGGGGACAAUGGGACUGAGAUACGGACCAGACGCCAACGGGAGGCAGCAGGGGGGAAUAUGGCACAAUGGGCGGAAGUCUGAUGCAGCAACGCCGGGGGCGGGAAGACGGUCUGUGGGGUGUAAACCGCUGUCGGCUGUGACGAAGCGUGAGUGACGGUAAUGGGUAAAGAAGCACCGGCUAACUACGUG